GUCUGAAUAAGAGAAAGAACAAGGGGAGGGGAACGCUUCUGCCAUUUUAUCUGUAAGGAAAAAAGAAACCAUAGAAGAAGUAGAAAACUAAAAUGACCUUCAGAACUAAUUUCUGGUUGAUACAAAAGAAGGAAUUUAAAAAUUGGGAAUCUGAUUGUCUACGAGAAUUUUUGUUUUGUUUUUUUUGUGGAAGCUUAGCCCUGAGCUAACUGCUGCCAAUCCUCCUCUUUUUGCUGAGGAAGACUGGCCCUAAGCUAACAUCCGUGCCCAUCUUCCUCUACUUUAUAUGUGGGACGCCUACCACAGCAUGGCGUGCCAAGCGGUGCCAUGUCCGCACCCGGGAUCCGGACUGGCGAACCCCGGGCCGCCAAAGCGGAACAUGUGCACUUAACCGCUGCGCCACCAGGCCGGCCCCUACAAGAGUUUUUUUACACUGGGUUUCAUAACUCAACGAUCUUGCCCGAGGCCCCAGGAGAGAAUGUGGAGUUAGGUCGGAAGGCAGAAGUGAGUUACUGAAAAUCGUAGGUGGUUAAUAUUAACUUCCUUGUCUUUCAUGAAUAAAGCCGUCACCCAGAACUCAUGGGUGAAACGCAGAGGGCUUUCAACUAAACCAGUGAUUGGCACACUUUCCCUAAAGGGCCAGACGGUCAAUAUUUCAGGCUUUGCAGGACAAAGAGUCUCUGAAGCAACGUCUCAACUCUUCAGAGGGAUGUCGAGUCAGCCGGGACAGCAGCAAGCAGCUGAUUGAUUCACUGGCGAAUCCUCAGGUCUCCAGCGAGAAGCAGGAACAUGAGCAUCUUCCCAGCUCUCUGGGACCAUGGCUGGUUCUGUGCAGCAGUGACCAUCCGAACAGGGCAGUGUCCACACUGCAGACUUGCCCUUCACGUGGUGAAGCCAUGAAACCAAAUGCAAAAGCUCGGACACUUUGCAAGAAGACAACACGAUUAUAUGAGAUACUGCAACAACUGAUAGCCCUGUGGCUCUCUCAAGUUACUGAUUAAGCAUUAAAAAUAGAAGCAUGGCCUGCCUAGGUUUCAAAUGCUGUCUCAUUUCUCAUCUGAGUAUAAAUACUAUCUUUCUGCAUAUUUGUGAUAACCAGCUCCUACACAAUAUAUCUCUCUUAUUGACAGCUAGUGAUGUGUCAGGAAUGGUGGAAAAUGACAGAGGUUCUGAGCAGGUAGGGUAGAUCUGGAGGGUCCCUGAGGAAAGGCCCUUGAGUUGGGCUUUGAAAGGGGUGUGGGGUUUGGCAGCCCACUACAGUGGGGGUGGUCCUUGGGCUAUGGUAAGGAGAGGACCUGCGUCACGUCCAGCUGCCAGGCUGGACCUAUUGCCAAGGAAAGCAUCACUCAGGACACAUCUCCUGCUGAAAGCGUCGACAACUGCAGCUCUCUCCCAAAGUUUAAUUCGUUUACUGCAAGGAAGUGCUUAUUUUCCAGGAGUUAAGCAGACAGCUCCCAGCCGGGCCUCAUCUUCCACCCCUCCUCACCAGCUACCAUGGCAGUCACUGCAUAAAGAAGUCCUUUAGCUGGAGAGAUGUGGCUGCCACGAUGCCUCAUUUUCAACGUCCCCAUAUUCCUGGCACUUUGCCAGCCCUUUGGGACAAAGACACUCUUGUCUGUGUCUACAGAUGCUCUUAGUGGCCUUGGCCAUGUGGGAAAGAUUAGAGUGUUUGCUUAUUAUGGGAAGCGUCUAAUAAAAUCAACCUGGGUUUUUAGCAUAUUUGAUGGAAGCCAGGUCUCCAAAUGCAGCUGAUUUUAAACGCACUCUCACAGUGGAAAGAACACAGCCUGUGGCAUUACUGUCAGUGAAGCGGAGUAAGCUAGACGAGUCUGAGGAAACAGGAUCGCAACCAAGAGGAGUCAGAAAAAUCAGCUGCCCUGGGAGGUGAACACAGGGAGCCGUGGAUAUAUUUAACCUAUGAGUCACAUGACUAGACUCUACUUAGGCAGAAGUAAAACAUGUUUUCCUUUAAAUGAUUAAACUUAGUUGAAAUUAGUUCAAGAAAAAUUUCUUUUCCCUCUGAAUGAUUUUUUUUUUCCCCAGGCUUAAAGAGUUUCAAGAUGAAAUUUGUUUUCUUAAAGAGAAAACUUACAUCAAUAGCUUUCAAACUAGACACAUCUGUGGACUUAGAACACCCCAAUGACAUCAAAUAAUGUAUUUGGCCCAUCUCCUACAUCUGGAUGUUUAAGACAGCACAUCAAAAAAAGAAAAAGAAAAAAAAAAGGAAGGGGAGUUAUAAAUACUUCCUUGGUCUCUUGAUAAUAAAACAAAUGGAUAUGGACUUGAAUUCCAAGUAUAUUCCAUCUUCUUGGGCAUAAAGUUGUUAAUGCCUACUCCUGAAGAGAUAAAAUAGUAAAAUUUCAAGUCUAUGGUUGGGAAAGGUUAGCCAAAAUUUCAUUUUAACAGUUUUUCUGCAAUCCAGUCUGGAUUCAAGUUAAUGUCAAAUCAAGACAUGUGAGCUAAACCCAGGACGCGUGAGUGGUCCAGCUUUGGAAAGGGUGGGUUUUAAGUAAGUGGGGAAGGGAGAGGAGAAAACUGAGUCAAAGCAAAAUGCAAGCAUGCCCGACAGGGCCGGCUCUCAGUAGGCGGCUUUGGGGUGUUCCCUGCUCUUACUUUGGGGUUAGUUAACUUAAACUUAAUGAGGUUUUCUUUCUUUUCUACCAACCAAUGACCAAAACCUCCAAUUAGUCAUGAUCAGCACCUAUUGGUAUUUCCUUUGCUUUUUCCCUUGUGGGGAAAGGAUGCUUUCUCUGUCUCCUUCUUCUUGAAAUUCUUCUUUCCCCAAACCAAUUACUUUUUUUUUUUUGAGGAAGAUUAGUCCUGAGCUAACUACUGCCAAUCCUCCUCUUUUUGCUGAGGAAGACUGGCCCUGAGCUAACAUCCACACCCAUCUUCCUCUACUUUAUAGUGGGAUGCCUACCACAGCAUGGCUUUAUGCCAAGCAGUGCCAUGUGCGCACCGGGAUGGGGCCACGAACCCGCUGAGAAGCAGAACCUAGGAACUUAACCACUGCGCCACCGGAGCGGCCCACCGAUUACUUUUUUGAUGAGGGCUCUUGACGAGGCUCAGCAUUCAGGCGCCACAUCUCCGCAGAACCCGAGGGCCCACGGCUGCCCGCUACUGCGCUCCUCCGCGGAAAGGCUGGAGGGUUGUCCGCUCUCGGACGAUCAGCCCCUGCCCUCCUGUCCCGUCUGGGUUCUGUACCUGCGCGGGAGACAGAAACAGGAUGAGGAGGCCUCUGAGGCGCGGCACAUUCGUUACCUAUUCCAUCCUGGGGAGUACUUUUACCGCCCCGUCCCUCCCCCAGUCUGACAUCUGAGAAAGGGGAGGCUCGGAGAGGUGAAGUCGCCCACCGCCCCGUGAGCUCCGGGAGGCAAGGCCGCGAAGUCUUGGACGCAGGCCCGUGAGCGUCAGCCUCGGGAAUGCUUUCCAGAAACGAACAGAAAGCCCCGCCGAGGUCCCCCCAGGCCUGUCGGAGCCCCGGUGUUAGUUCUUCCGGGCGGCGGGAGUCGGCGGACCGGAGGGCCGGGGAGCGAGAGCCGGCGGGCGUGGAGGGGGCCGGGCCGCAGGCGGGAGGAGAGCACGCCGGCCCCACGGCCCUCGCCCCCUCCCAUCCAGGGACCCGGCACCCGGCUGUCGCUCCCACACCACCUCCCAGGGUUUGCGCGCCCCCUGCCCGGCCGCCCCCCACUCCCAGCUUUCGCCCCCGGGUCUCGCGCCC
This 3721-nucleotide long non-coding RNA is filed under the name Equus caballus (horse). RNAcentral describes it as "lncRNA (ENSECAG00000047479.1)". Lineage: Eukaryota; Metazoa; Chordata; Mammalia; Perissodactyla; Equidae. The record is from RNAcentral.